Molecule: transfer RNA, 76 nt
Filed under: Alphaproteobacteria bacterium
Lineage: Bacteria; Pseudomonadati; Pseudomonadota; Alphaproteobacteria
Description: tRNA-Arg
Rfam family: tRNA
About the family: Transfer RNA (tRNA) molecules are approximately 80 nucleotides in length. Their secondary structure includes four short double-helical elements and three loops (D, anti-codon, and T loops). Further hydrogen bonds mediate the characteristic L-shaped molecular structure. tRNAs have two regions of fundamental functional importance: the anti-codon, which is responsible for specific mRNA codon recognition, and the 3' end, to which the tRNAs corresponding amino acid is attached (by aminoacyl-tRNA synthetases). tRNAs cope with the degeneracy of the genetic code in two manners: having more than one tRNA (with a specific anti-codon) for a particular amino acid; and 'wobble' base-pairing, i.e. permitting non-standard base-pairing at the 3rd anti-codon position.
Source: RNAcentral
GCGCCCGUAGCUCAGGGGAUAGAGCACUGGUUUCCGGAGCCAGGAGUCGGAGGUUCGAAUCCUCCCGGGCGCGCCA